UGUGACUCAGUGGUAGAGUGCUUGACUGGCAUGCAGGAGGCCCUGGAUUCUAUUCCCAGCA
This 61-nucleotide transfer RNA is filed under the name Ictidomys tridecemlineatus (thirteen-lined ground squirrel). Its description in RNAcentral is "Spermophilus tridecemlineatus (thirteen-lined ground squirrel) tRNA". It matches the Rfam family "tRNA", at positions 6 to 65 of the family's 71-position model. Rfam says of the family: Transfer RNA (tRNA) molecules are approximately 80 nucleotides in length. The record is from Rfam by way of RNAcentral. Lineage: Eukaryota; Metazoa; Chordata; Mammalia; Rodentia; Sciuridae.